UACGUAGGGACCAAGCGUUGUUCGGAUUUACUGGGCGUAAAGGGCGCGUAGGCGGCAACUCAAGUCAUCUGUGAAAUCUCCGAGCUUAACUCGGAACGGUCAGAUGAUACUGUUUUGCUAGAGUACAGAAGGGGCAAUCGGAAUUCUUGGUGUAGCGGUGAAAUGCGUAGAUAUCAAGAGGAACACCUGAGGUGAAGACGGGUUGCUGGGCUGAUACUGACGCUGAAGCGCGAAAGCUAGGGUAGCAAACGGG
RNAcentral lists this ribosomal RNA (253 nucleotides) under uncultured bacterium. RNAcentral describes it as "partial 16S ribosomal RNA". It matches the Rfam family "Bacterial small subunit ribosomal RNA", at positions 524 to 776 of the family's 1533-position model. The record is from RNAcentral.